RNAcentral lists this long non-coding RNA (254 nucleotides) under Populus tremula. RNAcentral's name for it is "long non-coding RNA (PTRE_LNC002362)". Lineage: Eukaryota; Viridiplantae; Streptophyta; Magnoliopsida; Malpighiales; Salicaceae. The record is from RNAcentral.
AAAGAAAUGUCGGAAAAUAGUUUAUUGUGUGAAAUGAGGAGCUUAGGAGGGAAAGGAAAGUUGGCAUUUCCUUUUUGACUUCUCUGACGAUAAGAUAUUCCCCAGUACUCCGACUACUACUAAAAGAGAGAUGAACGUUCAGAAUUCAUAAAUGAAUCUUCAUAAUGGAAGGAAGAGAUUGUUAAUCGGAAGGGGAAGAUUUUGAGUCCUAUAAGAAAUUCUUUCUCUUGAUCUUCUAGGAUCUCUUGAUGGUU